UACGGGGGGGGCAAGCGUUGUUCGGAAUUACUGGGCGUAAAGGGCGCGUAGGCGGUUUGCUAAGUUGGAUGUGAAAACUCUGGGCUUAACCCAGAGCCUGCAUCCAAAACUGGCAAACUUGAGUACUGGAGGGGAAAGCGGAAUUCCUGGUGUAGCGGUGAAAUGCGUAGAUAUCAGGAGGAACACCGGUGGCGAAGGCGGAUCUCUGGGCCGAUACUGACGCUGAGGAGCGAAAGCGUGGGGAGCGAACAGG
RNAcentral lists this ribosomal RNA (253 nucleotides) under uncultured bacterium. Its description in RNAcentral is "partial 16S ribosomal RNA". It matches the Rfam family "Bacterial small subunit ribosomal RNA", at positions 524 to 776 of the family's 1533-position model. The record is from RNAcentral.